RNAcentral lists this ribosomal RNA (253 nucleotides) under uncultured bacterium. RNAcentral describes it as "partial 16S ribosomal RNA". It matches the Rfam family "Bacterial small subunit ribosomal RNA", at positions 524 to 776 of the family's 1533-position model. The record is from RNAcentral.
UACGUAGGCAGCAAGCGUUGUUCGGAAUUACUGGGCGUAAAGCGCACGUAGGCGGAUCGUUAAGUCGGGGGUGAAAUCCUGGAGCUCAACUCCAGAACUGCCUUCGAUACUGGCGAUCUUGAGUCCGGAAGAGGUGAGUGGAACUCCUAGUGUAGAGGUGGAAUUCGUAGAUAUUAGGAAGAACACCAGUGGCGAAGGCGGCUCACUGGUCCGGUACUGACGCUGAGGUGCGAAAGCGUGGGGAGCAAACAGG